Xiphophorus couchianus (Monterrey platyfish) is the source of this 1332-nucleotide long non-coding RNA. RefSeq lists it as uncharacterized. The transcript is spliced from 2 exons. NCBI's taxonomy places the organism in Eukaryota, Metazoa, Chordata, Actinopteri, Cyprinodontiformes, Poeciliidae. The record is from RefSeq and is a predicted model, not a curated record.
CUUUAAGAAGGUUCUGCUCUUUCUGAAACUCCGCCUUCAGAAAGUCACCACAACACGGCUCCUCUAUUAACCCUUUAACGACGUUUUUACUGCACAACGUUUGCACUGAGAAGUGGCUCCUAUAAUGAGCUCAGAAGAUGAACAGUUUCAACAGGUGUUCGCCAAUUGCUGCUGGCUAGUCUGAAGGAGUAGAGUGGUGGCGUUGGUUCCCCCCAGGCACUUUGCACAGCUGAAUGGUUGGAAAUUCACAGGUUUCUCAAACAUGCAUGAAAGAAUCAAAUCAAGGCUCCAGAGAACGGAUGGGGACAUUGGUAGGAGAAACUCACUGAAUCAACAGGCAGUUAAGAUUUGCUGCUCUGUGACUUGGAGACUGCUCCUCUGUAAACAUGGCGGCGUUUAGCAUACGGAUGUCUGGAAUCUCUGGUAUGUGUUUGUUAGUCUCUGCGUUUCUGAACGUGCUCCGCAGCAGAUUGUUUGGCUCUGGGGCGGAUAUUAGGCAAAUCAGGCCCAGGGCUCCAUAUGUUGUGACACAGUAGAUGAUAAAAAGACUUUUUUUUUUUUAAAUUGAUGAAAGUCAGAGUGACACGGCAGAAAGACAAACAGUGACACAUAUGUGCCUGAGAAGGCAAGUGGGCGGAACCGGCCGCCAGUACCUGGCCCGGCCGCGGAUCGGUUCCCGUCUGAAGCCGGAGGGGAGGGGGACCGGUCUGACUGACGGACUGUGAGAAAAAAAGGAAAAGGAAACAGUUUUAGUUCGGGGAGAGUUUUGAGUUCCCUGCAGUCAGAAACGGAGGAAGAAGGAGGGAUUUUCCGCUCAAACGCCACACUUCCUAUGUUUGCAGUCUCUGCCUGUUUUGGUUUUGAUUUGCACAUGUGCAUUUUGAGUUUGCUCAAAUAAAGGGGUUUUUUUUCUGGGUCUUUUUCUUCUUCUUUUUUAUAUUUAUAAAAUAAUUUUUUUGUGUAAAUUGACAGGGAAUGUUUGGUCUCCCACCCCCCAAAUUCCAUUAUUUUUUUUGUACUAUAUUUUGUAAGUCCAUCUACUUGGCAGCUCUGUCUCUAAUGUCUCUCCAGGGGGUUGUGUGAGGUCGGGGUCCCUCGGCUCUGUUUUUAGCGGCUCGUUUCCGUUUCCGUCUUGUUCACGCCGUCGCUCAGAUCAAGCUGUUCUCUACUGGCUUUCAUCACCACUCGGAGUUUUUCCAUGGCUCUUGUCUGCUUCAGAAUGUCUUUUGAUUUCUUGGUGACAGAUAUAUACUUAAAAAUGAACCCAGCAUAUAAAGCAAGACAAAAAAAAAAAAAGAUAUUGCAAAAAAUAUAUAUUAUAAUGUUUUAUAA